This is a small nucleolar RNA of Callithrix jacchus (white-tufted-ear marmoset), 72 nucleotides long. Ensembl annotates it as small nucleolar RNA, C/D box 114-21. Its record names the gene SNORD114-21. The record is from Ensembl. Lineage: Eukaryota; Metazoa; Chordata; Mammalia; Primates; Cebidae.
UGGGUCGAUGAUGACCACCGGUGGCGUAUGAGUCAUAUGUGAUGAAUACGUGUCUGGAGCUCUGAGAUCUGU